This 462-nucleotide ribosomal RNA is filed under the name uncultured bacterium. RNAcentral's name for it is "bacterial SSU rRNA". It matches the Rfam family "Bacterial small subunit ribosomal RNA", at positions 32 to 508 of the family's 1533-position model. The record is from RNAcentral.
AAUCAACGCUGGCGGCGUGCCUCAGACAUGCAAGUCGAACGCGAAAGUCCCCUUCGGGGGGCUAGUAGAGUGGCGGACGGCUGAGUAACGCGUAGGUGACCUGCCCCGAAGUGGGGAAUAACUGCCCGAAAGGGUGGCUAAUACCGCAUGUGGUGGUGCCUUCACUGGCACCAGUAAAGCCGCAAGGCGCUUCGGGAGGGGCCUGCGUCCGAUUAGCUCGUUGGUGGGGUAACGGCUCACCAAGGCGACGAUCGGUAGGUGGUCUGAGAGGACGAUCACCCAGACUGGGACUGAGACACGGCCCAGACUCCUACGGGAGGCAGCAGUCGGGAAUUUUGCGCAAUGGACGAAAGUCUGACGCAGCAACGCCGCGUGAGGGAUGACGGCCUUCGGGUUGUAAACCUCUUUUGUCAGGGAAGAUGAUGACGGUACCUGGCGAAUAAGUCACGGCUAACUACGUGC